Molecule: long non-coding RNA, 244 nt
Organism: Condylura cristata (star-nosed mole)
Lineage: Eukaryota; Metazoa; Chordata; Mammalia; Eulipotyphla; Talpidae
Exons: 3
Source: RefSeq, a predicted model, not a curated record
CCCUGAUGUAUCUACGUUCCUCCUGAUCUGGUGAAAUGUUGCUAGACAAUCUUCCAGAUUGGAAGACAAGAACUAAAUUUUGCCUGGUGGUCCAGCCUGCAGAAUCAGCUGUGUGAGAUGUUCCAUGGGGGUUUGCACCUCAUCCUAAUCAUCUGAGCUGUCCAUGUGUCCUGUUAGAGUCACUGUCACCCUGAUGUACCUAUGUUCCUCUCGAUCUGGUACAAAUGUUGCUAGAUAAUCUUCA